GGGCUCGUAGCUCAGUGGUAGAGCGCAUCGUUGACAUCGAUGAGGUCGGUGGUUCGAUCCCACCCGGGCCCACCA
RNAcentral lists this transfer RNA (75 nucleotides) under bacterium. RNAcentral's name for it is "tRNA-Val". It matches the Rfam family "tRNA". From Rfam's summary of the family: Transfer RNA (tRNA) molecules are approximately 80 nucleotides in length. Their secondary structure includes four short double-helical elements and three loops (D, anti-codon, and T loops). Further hydrogen bonds mediate the characteristic L-shaped molecular structure. tRNAs have two regions of fundamental functional importance: the anti-codon, which is responsible for specific mRNA codon recognition, and the 3' end, to which the tRNAs corresponding amino acid is attached (by aminoacyl-tRNA synthetases). tRNAs cope with the degeneracy of the genetic code in two manners: having more than one tRNA (with a specific anti-codon) for a particular amino acid; and 'wobble' base-pairing, i.e. permitting non-standard base-pairing at the 3rd anti-codon position. RNAcentral also lists the same sequence under 1 other name. The record is from RNAcentral.